The sequence is a ribosomal RNA, 255 nucleotides long. It matches the Rfam family "Bacterial small subunit ribosomal RNA", at positions 874 to 1126 of the family's 1533-position model.
UGGGGAGUACGGUCGCAAGAUUAAAACUCAAAGGAAUUGACGGGGACCCGCACAAGCGGUGGAUGAUGUGGAUUAAUUCGAUGCAACGCGAAAAACCUUACCUACCCUUGACAUGGAUGGAAUCCCGAAGAGAUUUGGGAGUGCUCGAAAGAGAACCAUUACACAGGUGCUGCAUGGCUGUCGUCAGCUCGUGUCGUGAGAUGUUGGGUUAAGUCCCGCAACGAGCGCAACCCUUGUCAUUAGUUGCUACGAAAG